Molecule: ribosomal RNA, 505 nt
Filed under: uncultured bacterium
Lineage: Bacteria
Description: partial 16S ribosomal RNA
Rfam family: Bacterial small subunit ribosomal RNA
Source: RNAcentral
GACGAACGCUGGCGGCGUGCCUAAUACAUGCAAGUAGAACGCACAGUUUAUACCGUAGCUUGCUACACCAUAGACUGUGAGUUGCGAACGGGUGAGUAACGCGUAGGUAACCUGCCUGGUAGCGGGGGAUAACUAUUGGAAACGAUAGCUAAUACCGCAUAAUAUUGAUUAUUGCAUGAUAAUUAAUUGAAAGGUGCAAUUGCACCACUACAAGAUGGACCUGCGUUGUAUUAGCUAGUAGGUGAGGUAACGGCUCACCUAGGCGACGAUACAUAGCCGACCUGCGAGGGUGAUCGGCCACACUGAGACUGAGACACGGCCCAGACUCCUACGGGAGGCAGCAGUAGGGAAUCUUCGGCAAUGGACGAAAGUCUGACCGAGCAACGCCGCGUGAGUGAAGAAGGUUUUCGGAUCGUAAAGCUCUGUUGUAAGAGAAGAACGGGUGUGAGAGUGGAAAGUUCACACUGUGACGGUAUCUUACCAGAAAGGGACGGCUAACUACGUG